GGGUCACCUCCCACCCGUGUUUAUUUUACCUUGUUGCUUCGGCGGGCCCGCCUUAACUGGCCGCCGGGGGGCUUACGCCCCCGGGCCCGCGCCCGCCGAAGACACCCUCGAACUCUGUCUGAAGAUUGUAGUCUGAGUGAAAAUAUAAAUUAUUUAAAACUUUCAACAACGGAUCUCUUGGUUCCGGCAUCGAUGAAGAACGCAGCGAAAUGCGAUACGUAAUGUGAAUUGCAAAUUCAGUGAAUCAUCGAGUCUUUGAACGCACAUUGCGCCCCCUGGUAUUCCGGGGGGCAUGCCUGUCCGAGCGUCAUUGCUGCCCUCAAGCACGGCUUGUGUGUUGGGCCCCGUCCUCCGAUCCCGGGGGACGGGCCCGAAAGGCAGCGGCGGCACCGCGUCCGGUCCUCGAGCGUAUGGGGCUUUGUCACCCGCUCUGUAGGCCCGGCCGGCGCUUGCCGAUCAACCCAAAUUUUUAUCCAGGUUGACCUCGGAUCAGGUAGGGAUACCCGCUGAACUUAAGCAUA
RNAcentral lists this ribosomal RNA (521 nucleotides) under Penicillium sp. PF1_5_Fu. RNAcentral's name for it is "eukaryotic LSU rRNA". The stretch from base 158 to 310 matches the Rfam family "5.8S ribosomal RNA". Lineage: Eukaryota; Fungi; Ascomycota; Eurotiomycetes; Eurotiales; Aspergillaceae. The record is from RNAcentral.